AACGCGAAGAACCUUACCCAGGCUUGACAUGCAGAUGACGAUAUCAGAAAUGGUAUUUCCCUUCGGGGCAUUUGCACAGGUGCUGCAUGGCUGUCGUCAGCUCGUGCCGUGAGGUGUUUGGUUAAGUCCAGCAACGAGCGCAACCCUUAUCAUUAGUUGCCAACACGUAAAGGUGGGAACUCUAAUGAGACUGCCUGGGUUAACCAGGAGGAAGGUGAGGAUGACGUCAAGUCCGCAUGGCCCUUAUGUCUGGGGCUACACACGUGCUACAAUGGUCGGUACAGAAGGCAGCGAAACCGCAAGGCGGAGCAAAUCCCGAAAGCCGAUCUCAGUUCAGAUUGUAGUCUGCAACUCGACUACAUGAAGACGGAAUUGCUAGUAAUGGUGGGUCAGCAACACCACCGUGAAUACGUUCCCGGGUC
This 422-nucleotide ribosomal RNA is filed under the name uncultured bacterium. RNAcentral's name for it is "bacterial SSU rRNA". It matches the Rfam family "Bacterial small subunit ribosomal RNA", at positions 958 to 1380 of the family's 1533-position model. The record is from RNAcentral.